This 418-nucleotide ribosomal RNA is filed under the name uncultured archaeon. RNAcentral describes it as "bacterial SSU rRNA". It matches the Rfam family "Archaeal small subunit ribosomal RNA", at positions 455 to 871 of the family's 1478-position model. The record is from RNAcentral.
GUGCCAGCAGCCGCGGUAAAACCAGCACCUCAAGUGGUCAGGAUGAUUAUUGGGCCUAAAGCAUCCGUAACCGGCUCUGUAAGUUUUCGGUUAAAUCUGUACGCUCAACGUACAGGCUGCCGGGAAUACUGCAGAACUAGGGGAGUGGGAGAGGUAGACGGUACUCGGUAGGAAGUGGUAAAAUGCUUUGAUCUAUCGAUGACCACCUGUGGCGAAGGCGGUCUACUAGAACACGUCCGACGGUGAGGGAUGAAAGCUGGGGGAGCAAACCGGAUUAGAUACCCGGGUAGUCCCAGCUGUAAACUAUACAAACUCAGUGAUGCAUUGGCUUGUGGCCAAUGCAGUGCUGCAGGGAAGCCGUUAAGUUUGCCGCCUGGGGAAGUACGUACGCAAGUAUGAAACUCAAGGGAAUUGACGG